ACAGAGGUCCCAAGCGUUGUUCGGAUUCACUGGGCGUAAAGGGUGCGUAGGUGGCUUGGUAAGUUCGAUGUGAAAUCUCCGGGCUUAACCCGGAAAUGGCAUUGAAUACUAUUGAGCUGGAGGUUUGGAGGGGGGACUGGAAUUCUCGGUGUAGCAGUGAAAUGCGUAGAUAUCGAGAGGAACACCAGUGGCGAAGGCGAGUCCCUGGACAACACCUGACACUGAGGCACGAAAGCUAGGGGAGCAAACAGGAUUAGAUACCCUGGUAGUCCUAGCUGUAAACGGUGCAUAUUUGCUGUAAAAGGAAUCGACCCCUUUUGUGGCGAAGCUAACGCGAUAAAUAUGCCGCCUGGGAAGUACGGUCGCAAGAUUA
RNAcentral lists this ribosomal RNA (373 nucleotides) under uncultured bacterium. RNAcentral describes it as "bacterial SSU rRNA". It matches the Rfam family "Bacterial small subunit ribosomal RNA", at positions 525 to 896 of the family's 1533-position model. The record is from RNAcentral.